UUUACGUCACACGGGUGGAGCCUGAAAUUGCCAACAUGUCUUAGUAGUAAUGUUUUACCAGCGUUGGUUAUCUUUCUUUCUCGUACUCGAUCUGUUCGCUCUGUAGUUUUGAUCUCGUCAUUAGAGGAUUAUCAAACGCACAGCUGAUGUGGAUGUUUUUGCUGCUCAAAGAUUCAUCAAAAGGUAAAUAAAAGGAAAUAGUGAGAACAUGAGAUCACAUCUGGAUAAUCAGAACGAUCAAAUCAGUAAAUGAGUGAUGGACAGCAGAGAGAAGGAUUUAACAUGCAGUGAAUUGAAGCCUAUUCGCAGAGACAGCAUGCAGCACAAACCAAACAUGUGUGUGGACGCAGACAGACAUCUAGAGCUUAACUCUUGUCAGUCGGCAAGACUCAAAGAAAAGAUCCACGCAGUGUGUUUUGUGCUCUUCAGAGAUUUGAUCUUCAGCUCUCACUCUGCGGGCACAGAGUCACUGCUCCCCCUAGUGGACACAAUUGUAUAGCACAAGAGCACACCUGACAGCAUUGUACGUUUUUUUACACUAAAACACUGUACAGUGUGAAGGUUUUCAGUUUACUGUUUCCUGAUGUCAGUGUUAAACUUAAAAAAAGGCCAUGAGUUAAUGUAUUUCCUAACAUGAACAAGUGCUGAACAAUAUAUUUAAUACAGUAUUUAUUAAUGCAAAGCUGUUUAUUAAUAGUUCUCAUUAACUCACAGUGCAUUAACCAAUGUUAACACGCAUAGAUAUUAAUAAUGCUUUAGUAAAUGCUCAACUUUGAUUAAAAAAUAUGUACAAGACUGUUUAUACUUUGGUGGUAAAUACAUUGACAAAUAUUAACUACUGGAACAUUAUUGUAAAGUGUGAGCCAGUGUUUAAUCUUCAUUGUAAAGGAUCUUUAGGGGGUUUCUUUUAAGAUUUAAGUGUGAAAGGAUUUCACUAUACUUAAUUUGUUUUAUAAUAAAAAUCUUUGCUAUCUUUUUGUAAGUUCCAUACAUUUGUAAAAUGUGUAUAUAUAUAUAAUGCUUUUUAUACAAAUAAACUGCCUCUGAGAGGUGCAUUAAACCUGA
Molecule: non-coding RNA, 1065 nt
Organism: Danio rerio (zebrafish)
Lineage: Eukaryota; Metazoa; Chordata; Actinopteri; Cypriniformes; Danionidae
Source: RefSeq, a predicted model, not a curated record